Molecule: ribosomal RNA, 449 nt
Filed under: uncultured bacterium
Lineage: Bacteria
Description: partial 16S ribosomal RNA
Rfam family: Bacterial small subunit ribosomal RNA
Source: RNAcentral
CCCAGACUCCUACGGGAGGCAGCAGUGGGGAAUAUUGGGCAAUGGGCGCAAGCCUGACCCAGCAAUGCCGCGUGAAGGAAGAAGGCCCUCGGGUUGUAAACUUCUUUUAUCAGGGACGAAGGAUGUGACGGUACCUGAUGAAUAAGCCCCGGCUAGCUACGUGCCAGCAGCCGCGGUAAUACGUAGGGGGCAAGCGUUGUUCGGAAUGACUGGGCGUAAAGGGUGCGUAGGCGGUGUAGCAAGUUAGAAGUGAAAUACCUAGAGCUUAACUCAGGUGCUGCCUCUAAAACUGCUAUACUUGAGUGCAGUAGAGGAAAGUGGAAUUCCUAGUGUAGCGGUGGAAUGCGUAGAUAUUAGGAGGAACAUCAGUGGCGAAGGCGACUUUCUGGACUGUAACUGACGCUGAGGCACGAAAGUGUGGGGAGCAAACAGGAUUAGAUACCCUUGUA